GGCUGAGACCAGAGGCCAGCGCCGCGCGGGAGGAGCUUCGGGGCCCGCCCCGUUCCCUGGGCAACGGCGACGCCGAGCCCGGCAGCAUGGCGGCGACUGGGCAGGAAGAAGACCAAGAUCAGGAUGCUGUAGGUGGACAGAGGACUAUUAAUCACACAUUUCUUUCUCUUUCCCAAAUUACUGCUUUGUCAGAUCAAAAUGUAGAAGGAGUUCAAAAAAAGCUGGGAGAGUUUCUGAAUUUCAGACAAUUAAAGACAUCUUUGAAAGAAGCUAUUUUGCUAGAUUAUUAUACUGCAGGAUUUUGUUGGGCUAAAGAAAUGAAUUUCAGUCUUAUGCAGCUGUCACGAUUCAUGGAUCUCUUAAACUUCCUGCUGGAAAACCUCCGUGACAAACAUAUGACCUUAGAAGAUAACAUAAAAGAACUUGGGAAAGCAAUGGCUGGAAUAGGAGAAACCGAUUCAGAAAGAAGUGAUGACUUGGAUGUCUUCAGCAUUGACCAGGCCAAAGCAAUCAUUGAUUACAUGAAUAUCAGGUCCUUCACAGACUCAAGAAUUUCAUUUGAGAGCUUAUUUCGACUCUAUAAAUUGUAUGAACAUCUCUUCCACAAUCCUAGAGAGGAACGUGUGAUAAGUAAUGAGAUUUACAAAUUGUAUCUUAUACUGCAGUUCAUGUUUUUUUGCUGCUCUCCAUUGUGUAUUUUUGGAUGGAAUGAGGCUAAGGUCUUCUGGGAUUAUGUCUGCUUUGAAACAUUUCCUAAUAAAAAUAAUGUGGUUGGUAAAUCUAGUUUUAUUCCUGGCUGCUUUAGCCAGCCUGAUGGAGUAAUCUGCUAUUUUAUGGCCCAGAUGACUAGCUAAGUUUGACUUCUUGAAGUAGUAGUGUACAAUGUAAUUUUCUUUAGAGAUGUCAUAGUGGGUCAGGUUGCAAUAAAAAUAUCGAAGAUUAAGUUUAAUGGCAGUGCAGACUCAGUAUUAUAGCAGUCACUAAGUAUCAUCCCCUGUACUUACAGCUCCAAAACAGUUUCCAUUAAUGCUAUCUUUCCAUGUACUCUUACUUUCUGAAGCAUUAAGCUUUUGGAACAUGUCUGGUCUUUAUACAAAUGUGGGUGGGUUUUUUUGUUUUUGUUUUUGUUUGUUUUUUUUGUUUGUUUGUUUAGUUGAUCAGUUGGAAUUUUUUUUUUAGUUGUUUUUUUUGUUGUUCUUGUUACCACCUGGGUUUUAAGUUUGAACCAAAAUCCCUUCCAUGAAUAGGAAGAACUAUUUGAAACCAUAUACUAUUUGAAAGCAAAUUAAGCUUUCUUCACGGCAAAAGUCCUGAAGUCUGGGACUUCACUUUGAUAUAUGACUCUCAUUAGGUGUUGCACAUUUAGUUUGGUUAACCAAUCAUUUUUUUAAAACCGAUUUGCUCAGUGAUUUCUUGAGAACUCCAUUUUAAGGAUGUAUGAAACCAGAACUUUUCUGUGAGUAUCAGCUCACACUAGAGAGACCCAUUCCCUAGCUAACAGAGUGCAUGCUUUUUAAAGCUUGAAGGUUUCAAAUAUUUGUAAUGCUUAAAAACCGCCGAGUUGAUUUUCUGUAGCUUUGUUUUGUAAAUAUUAGCAUAGCAAAGAUAUCAAGACUAGUUCAAAGGAAAUAAGAGCAUACUACUGGAAAGGACCUCUGCGAUUUUUCUGAUCUAUUGCUGCCUUCUCAUAGCAAAUGUAUAUAAUCCUCUUCAGAAAUGUGUCAAACUCAAGCUUAAGAAGUUAACUGUUUUUGUCUCUGCUGUUCCAGUUAGAAAGCUGGUCUGGAGCCUGAUUGCUAUAAUGAUUCUAAAACUUUUAAUUUCCAGUCUAAAUGUAUUCACAGCAGGCUUAUAUGCACUUAUCCAUGUGCCAAUUUGUGCCAGUACUGACCUUUAGAUCUUGUUCAGUUCACAGUGUUUAUUUUUCUAACGUAUAAAGAGACAGCAAUCUUAUUGUCAGCCUUCAUUUAGCUAAAUUUGAAAAGCCAGUCUUUCCUAAUCUCUGUUUUUAAGAUGGGCUUUUGUUAUAUGCAUUCUUACGUACACUGCAGCCUUUAGUCAUCCUAUUGGUCAUUUUCUGUAAUUGUUUCAUGUUAAAUUACUUUUGUUUGAACAUAAGUGACCGAACUGCACAUAGUAUUGUUGCUGAGAUAAAAGCAAGGCCCUGUGCAAUGAUAAUACUGCUUUCUUUUUCUCUUUGGGAAUAAUCUACACGUGCCUUAGAAUCAGUCACACAUUUCAUAACUGUAUCAUGUGGUUCUCUUGUCAUAGAUCUGCUAUUCUGCUUUUCCUCUAUCCCUGCGUUUUCCAGCUGAGGUACUCUCAGCACACUGCAGAUUUUUAGAAAUUGUGCCCCAACAAUGUCACCUCACAGUUUCUCAUUAAAUGCAAGAGUGAAUGUUCUUCAAGGUCAUUCAGUCCCAUCUGUAUGAUAUUCCUUUCCUCCCAUGCAUUCAUCGUGUCUCACACAUUCUUUUUGCCUAGAAAAUAGAUUAUCAUAUUAAGUAAACUCUGAAAUUAGUCUGGCAUCAUGUAUCUUUGAUAAACCAAUGUUGUGUUAUAUCCCACUUUUCUUUAAUUUCCAUGUCUGUAUUUAUUUUUUCCUUCAAAACUUGUUCCUCAAGCCUUUACUACUAUGAAGAUCAAAACUACAGCUUCAGGAGUAGGUUUAUUAUUUUACGAUUAUGAAUGUUUAAAACUAGCAAACUGGCACUUGGGCUUUUGAUGUCUGAGGGAAAAUUUUUGAUGUCCGCUCCAGAAGUAUGUCUUACUAAGGACCUGAUUACUGAAAUAAGCAGCUGGAGAGCCAGUGGUUUUUGGUGACAAAAAUAACUGUGAUUCUCUCCUUUGAUCUUGAAUUUUGCUAUUGCUAUAACCAGAGGGAUCUUGAAGGACUUGUGAUUAGACAGAAUGAAAAGUGAAGUCUGUUGGGAUUGUGUGCAUUAUUACUUGAAAUAUUUUAAUCAUAUCUUGCACAUUAGAAACCUCUCUUGGUUUACGAAGACUGAAUUUGCUAUACUCAGUUACCAGUAGUGAAGAUAUACUGACCUUUAAGAGUUAUGUUUUCAUAUAGGUCACAUGCUGAUGAUCUUCUACCUCUAUUUUAACAUACCUGUGUUUUGGUAGCUCAACUAUGCUGACUUGAAGCCAGGAGCAGCUCCAGAGAGAGAGUUUGUGGAAUUUAUAAGCAGGUGUUGAGUCUCUUUGCAAAUCGUGCUUUAGAGAAUGAUGAACAGAAUGCUUUUUAAAUUACUUUCUUAGGAAAUGUCAAAUACAAAACUAGCAUGCUUUCUAAUUCAGUACCGUGUAGGAACUCAUGAAAGUAAAAAUUCAGGCAGGAAAAAUGCAGAAUAGCUGUUGUAGGCCACGCCCUUCAGUAUACAGAACAAUAUGGUUCUGACCAAGCCAGUGUUAAAACAGAUGCCUCUGUUUGAGUACUGGUAAAAUUUUAUUUUGGUGGAUCUAUUCAUAUACACAGAGUUAAACUGAGAAGUGACUGAGAUCACGUUGCUUGUCACUCUGGAGGAUGAAAAGCUGAAGACACCAGAGCAAAAAUAUAUAUAUGGAUUUGAGGCUUAUCAUUGUUUUUGUUUCAGUUGUAUAGUCGUCAAAGUAUUUCAUUUUUGAUUGUAUGAUGUUAAAUAGGAGAGAGAGGAAAAAACCUUAAAUUGUUGAUGUUGAAACAUUUCUGGAACUGUUCAGGAAUUUAUAUAUACAUAGACAAGCUCUAUGGCUUUUUUUAAUUAUUUAGAAAGUGACUUGAUUUCUCUGUGUAUGUGGAUGUUAACAUGCGUGGUUCUGAUAACAGCAGUAAUGGCUUAUUUAUUUGCUGGAAUGCAGGCCAAGUAGGAAUUGUAGCCUUUGAUUUGAAAGAUAGAACAGCAUUAAGGGCAGCUUUUUUUUUUCCUGUCAGAGUGUUUUAAAGAUCCAGAAGACUAAUUGCUGCAUCGUAAGACUACCACAUGUUAAAAAAUAUUUAUAGAUCAGUAUUUUUAUGUAUGUAAAUUGUAAUGUAAGGCAAUGAGACUGGCAGAAAUGUAGACUUAGGAAAACUUUAAAGUGCUUAAGCAAAGUACUUGAGGGCAGGCAGGUACCAUUUGGGUACUUGCUCGUCCAGUGUGAAGACGCUGGUGACUGGUUUGCUGGAGCAGUUUCCCAUAUUUCCAAAUUUUCCGGCAUCGUUUUUUAUUAACUGACAAGUAGAAAUCCAUGAACUUACACUGCAGUGCACAACUAUUUUUGCACCCACUACUUUCAUCUCCAGGUUUUCAUCAUCUUGAAGAUUAAAUUGUAUUCUUAAAAGUAUCUGCGGAAUGGACAAGUAAUGUAAUAUUUCACGGGAAUGUAUCCCCAUGGGUGAAUCUGUAUGUAUCAAAUGCAUACAUCUUGUGACCUUAUGUUAUGAAUAAAAUUUUGACAUUAUUCGUAUAAAUAAAUAGUGUGGCAUUUCCUUACUGUGAUGAUUUAUAAUCAAUAUACAUUUUAAUAACUUUUUAUCCUCUUGGUUGGUUUUAUGAGAAGAUGAAUGUAUUCAAGUCUAAAUAGCAGAUAAGACCUUUAAAGUUCCUUUUAUACAAAACUUUCUGGUGCAUUUUAAGUCUUCUACUUUCACCUUUAAUUUUAUAACUUGUCAUAAGAUACAAUAUGAAGAAUUUUAACUAAACAUUGAUUCUGAUAUAUUUGAAUAUUUAAUUCAUAAAAUGUUAUUUUGAUUUCCUAUAUGCUACCCUCUGCAAAACACAGUGUUACUAAUUAGAAAGCUGAGUUUUAUAGGCUGUCUGGUUCGUAUGUGAGGUAAUUUAUAUGGCUACUUCAGCUUACAUUUAAUAAACCUCAGCUAGGAAAAUUGUUUAAGUAUCAAAGAAAAGAUAAUAAAUAAAAUGAGGGCAUAGAAUAUUAAUGUGAACUCUGCCUUUAUUUUUUUAAAGCAUUCAAAGUUAAAUAGUGGAGGUCUGUUAACAAUCUUGGGCUAUUUGGCAAGUCUUUAAACUUACUCAAUAAUCAAAACAUAAAAGGACAAUGGAAACUUUUUACAAUAAAAGAAAAAAACGAGUUGAGUACAGAAACCAAACAAAUUAUUCUCUGCUUUUUCUUGGUAAGGAGGUGAACUUUAUAGGAAGGGCAGCAAGCUCUGAGUGAGGGUUGCCUUUUCCUGUCUUUGUUAUAAAUUACAUGUGUCUGUGCAGAAUCCUCUCCAGUUACUUCGUACUUUGUGGUUACGGGGAAGGCAUGCGGGUGCAUGGGGAAUGGAGCUGAGAAAGACAGAUUAGGGAGAGCCGCCUUUUUUUUUUUUUUUCCCACUUAUAAACUGGCACUUCACAUUAAUCUGCCUUGCUUACUGAAUAUACACAUAGAUAAAAUUCCCAAGAUCCCAGCUGUGUAAAUAGAACAUUAAUAAAACAACUGUUUUCUUCAGCAUUUGUAUUAUUUGUUGUUUGUAACAUGUGAGUCUUUUGGAAGACUUCUGGCACCACUUAGGUUCAGGGUAAUCGUUCAGAAUGUUUUCAUGAGGGUUCAGAUGGGGAAGACAUUCAGCAAAGAAACAGACUUCAUCUAAAGUAAUGCCUGAGUCUUUCACAAAGGGCCAAAUACACUGCAACAUCAUCAUGGGGCACCAGAAAUAUGAAGAGAAGCUGCCAAAUUGUCCAGGAGAGAGAGCCAUAGACCUUGGCUAAUGUCCUUCUUUCCUUGUACCUACUGAGUGCCUGAAGGGAAAAUGUAAACAUGAGCAUAGUCACAAGUCUGAGCAGAAGUAGCCCAAGUGCAGCUAUGCAGAGAAGAGUCAAAGGGGCCGCAAGUAAAGAAAGGGGCCAUGACCAAGAUCCUCUACUGGUUUUGGUUUUUGUCAUUUGAAACUGAAACAGGAGUUACUGAUAAGUUGCUAAUGACAGAAGAGAGGGAGAGGUUUUGGCAUUCUGUUCCUCUUCUGCAGUGUGCACUGAUGACCAGCUCCAGCCCAUUGAGUUUCACUGUCUCUUGUUCCACUGUUUUAGGAAGAAGGUUCUUAAUGAUAACUGUAAUCAGCAUUAACUUAACCUCGUGUUUUAUGAGUCUCCCACCAAUCCACUGUUUUCUUAUAGAAGUUAAGACCUCAUUAUGUACUUCCAGCUAUUGCACUCAGUGAAACAGCAUUGGACAGGUGGACUACACUGUAUGUCCUCAGGGCAUCUUGGAAAGACAGCAGCUGGAGUCUUUAAGAGUGUUUUAUGAUUAAGAGUAUGAUCUGGAGCGUUUUAUGCUUUGGCUUCCCAUUGCAUUGUUGGAAAUUCAGUAGCCAAGUGAUCUUGAGUGUUCUCUUGACUAACUUAAAACAGCUGGGGGGCAAUGCUUAACUGUUUAUACCUGGUGUUUGCUUUCCCUUACUUGUACAAAUGGGCAGCAUCUCUAGCUGACCUUAAAAUUCUAAGGUGGUAUCUCUAUGAAUUUACUUUCUUUUUUAUUUUUCACACUGAUUUCACCCUCAAAAUCUGUCUCAGAUUGCAGAGCCUAUGCCAGAGCCUGCAGAGGUUCUGCAGAGCUAUGCUGCAGGUGAUGCUGUGUCCGGGGUAAAACCCAAAAAACCAUGGAUGAUGUUUUCAGCUGAAAUGUUAACAUUUUUGCUCUCCACUUUUUUUUUUCUGAUAAGUGGUCCUUCUGAUCUUUUUGAUUUCUUCUACAGGAAGGUCUAACCCUAUUAUAAAAACAUCUUUCAGAAAAUUUUGUUACUACUUUCAAAACAGAUGACAUCUUGCAAGUAUUGUAUGCUAAUGCUCUGUUUUCUUGAUGUUAGAAUUUCUGUACUUGGUAAAACUUUUAUUUUUGCUCUGUUCUAUUAAUCUAAUGCUACACAAGGCACAAUAUCUUCUUUGCAAUUGCUCAGUAGUUUAUUUUGACAUUAUAUAUCAGAGUUGGCUUGUGAAAACAGUCUAAGGCAAUGGCAUAGAUUCUAAGUGAUAAAGAUGAAUGUUGCAUGCUUCAUUUACAGCCGGACUUUCCAAAUAUGGUCUCAGAGUUGUGAAAACAUCUUGUGCUUGAGAAGGCUUGAAUUUUGACAUGAUCAAGGCUGUGGGGGAAAUUUCAGACACUAACAGUUAGGAAUUAGGGUCUAUAUCCUUUAGAUUCACUCAGUGUUGUGUGAUGUGAAUAAAGAUACAUUGCAAACAAUCGGGAUGUCUGUAAACUCCAUAUAUUGCUCUACUUUUAAUAAAAUUGAGGAAUGAUAGGAGUGUUCUGUAGAAUUUAUUAUGGUUUGAAUAUCUGCCUAACAUUCUCUCAGAGUUUUUCUUUGUGUUCAUUUUGUAUUCAUGGCAUCCAUUUAUCAUUUUCAUCACUAUCUGUUAUACAUUUAAGACUCGUAAUGAUUUUCUUUUGUUCUAAGGAAGACACUUUGCCAGCUUUUUGUGCUCUCCAGGAGUUAGGAUGAAGCUGAAGAUUUACAUUGGGAGAAAUGUUAAAUUACCUGUAACGAUCAUAUUUCAAAUGAGUACUUAAAGAUUUUACCCUCACUUAAGCUUGUUGCUGGAGACUUUUAUCAAUUUUAGCAAUACUGUUUUCCCUCUAGGCAUAGGUUAAAAGCAACUAAUAGCUAGAGGCUAGGUUACUGACUUGUCUUCUUCUUUCUUUGUUCUUUUUUUUUUUUUUUAAAUUCCUACCAGUUUUGCAUUGUGGUGAGCCCCAAGGAGUUUCUAAAAUCAUCUUUAUGUUUCUGUCCAUUUUGAGAAUGACCCCUUGAGUCUACUGGUGAAGUGCAGUCAUGUUUGUUUCUGUUUAAUCAACUGUUGUUUGAGAAAUCAAACAAUUGUCAGGAUAGAAGUAGAGAGGCAAAUGUGGCUUACUUUGCCACUACAGAGAUUUUAUCUUUUGUCCCUCCCUGCUGUGCUUGCAAAUAUAGCUCUCUGAAUUACUGAAUGCAAGAGUAAUAUCCUUCUGUUUGGAACCCUGGCAAAGCAACUCACAAGCAAAGUAAGAGAAGUUAAAGACAAGAUUUGAGCCUUAUCUCCAUGUUUCCUAACUGCUGCUGGUUUGACUUCAGUUCCUGCUUUACCAGUUUUAUUGCAGUAUAUUUAAUUGACUCUCUUUGUUCUGAUCAAUCAUCAGUUAAAUGGGUAAAUAAUAAAAGAAAAAGGGUACAUAAUCGAAUUACUAUAAGUAAUUGGCCAGUCCAAGCAUUACCGGAACUUUGCAAUCAGCGGAAAAAACAGGGCUUUGGUAUCAGUUAGUAAAGGCCAAGCCUUUAAAACUGACAAGGGAAGCACACUGCUACAUAGGCACGCUUUCUGUGAAUUUAAAUUACAAAUUAUUAUGUAUAAUCAAAAUCAGAGCAACUGGAAAGCCAUACAGCAUGGAUAGACUUUGUUAAUUUUUGGGUACAAACGACAGACAUUAGACAAGCUUGAAAGUCUGUCAGAGUAGGAGAAUCUUAAUGUGUGACAAGUUCAAGAUAAAAUGAGAACUUGUCUUGAGGAUUAUUUUUUCCUCUCGUAGCAGAGGGAACAUUACAAACUGUAUGCAUUAGAAUAAAAUGUAGAAGUCUGUGUUAAGGAAGCUUCUUUAAGAAUUAGGAAAGUUUAAAGACUGUACAUUAAACAACCAGCAAGAUAUGGUGUGUUAAAUAAGGAACUGUGGGUCGCUCUGGGAAUGGGGAAUUAGACGCUAGAAUUUUUCUGUGCAGGACUGCCAGUUUAAUACAGUUACCACUUCACAGACUGUAACACAAAUUGGUCUUGUUACACUGCCUCGAGAAUAAACAAUUACAAAGACAACCUGCUUUCUUAGCACUUAUCUGUUAGAAUACUACUGAAUUUCAAUGCAAAAGUAAUUGCUUAAUCAGACGCCAAUAACUUCAAUGUAUACAGACACAUAGAAAUCAGUUUUUAAAAUUUUUGUUUUCCCCUUUCUCUUCCUGCCAAAUCUAACUGGAGAAGAACAGGUGAAGAGUGAAAAAAGAUAGCAUGAAUGUUAGCUAAACUCUGCCCUGUGAAAUUUGGUUGUAUAAAAGGCCAUCUUUGUAGAAUGUUAGAGAGUUCCAUAUGUCAAGUCAAAGGAAGAUCAAUAUAGCAGGGGAAAUAAAGAAAGUUUCCCAUUAAGAGUACCCAAAUUUUGCCUAGUGCUGCAAUAAACAGUAGUGGCGCAGUGUGGGUAUUGCAGCUUCAUUUUUACCUGGGGGUCUGAUUAACUCUUUCAAAUUAGCUCCCAGUUAAGACCCGAUUUACAUCAUUGUGUUACAGGAUGCAUAGAAACUCCAGCGUGAUUAUAAUGUUGUAUUGAACUCUGUCUUCAAGGAACGGAAACUUCUACUCAGCAAAGACAUUUUGAAUUUGAAAAGUAAAGGAAUUGUUGAGAGGGAGACUUUUGGGCAAAUUCAUUGUGAUACCCAUGAGAAGGUUUUUAAUGCCUAUGCUUCUUUUACUGCUCUCUGAUAUAAACUCUGUGUAUGCAAUUAUGAUUUACAAUCCAAUUCGUGUAUUCUGAAUUCAUAGCACCCCAAGUGAUUUCAGGGAUCCUGCAAGGAUUGUAUCCAAAAAAGGUACUAUAUUAACCUGGUGUGUAUUGGUAGCAAAAUUGGUCCUCAAGCUGUAUGUAAUUAAAUGGGAAAGCAUUCUUGCAAAUUUGCAAACAUCCCAUGUUUACAGUUGUAUAAAAUACUGCUAUAGCUUGGUGAUGUGUGUAUAUGUGAGUAGAGUAAAAAGUGCUGUAUUAGUUCAUCUUUACAGCUCAUUCCUGAGUAAAGAGUUCAUAUUCAAAGUGUUUUAACUGAAUUUGCUUAGUAUUUCAGUUGUAAAUUAAGAAAUUUACUUAGUUUUCAACAUUAAGAGAGGAGUGCUAUAGUAUUUCUGCAAUAUAACAGGAAUUAUAUUUGCUAAUAUACUUCAGAAGCAUUUAAAUUCUGAUCACACAGACAAAAGGAAAUUUCAAGUAAUGGAAGUAAAUUUAAAUUGCACAACAGUAAAGACUUUCAUACCUUUGAAAAUAUUUUAGUGUUGGCUUUUUUUCUUCUUGCUUUGAUUAUCCAUGAUCACAACAGCAGAAUUCUAUUGCUGUUGCCAUAAUUUUGAAAGCAUAACUGUGUUAACAUGAAAUUUGCAUAUAUAAGUACAUUUGCCAACUUCUUUUCAUUUUUUUUUUCAUUUCCUUUCUAAUUCUGUACUGGGAGAGACUGUUGAUCAGUACACUGGCUGAAAUAAAAUUCAGCAUAAUUGCAGGAGAGAAUGGAGUCAUGCAGACAACUUUUGCAGAAAAAAAAAAGCAAUCCACUGCCACAGCAGAAUGAUCGUAAUAGAAAUUUAUGUGGUUGAACUUGCCCCACCUGCAGUUACCCCCUUCCCUGCUCCACCUGAGGAAGGUACAUCUUCAGAUAUCUAUGCAUCAUUCUUAGCAUCACCAAUUGCUGCAGAUAUGGAACCUGAG
Numida meleagris (helmeted guineafowl) is the source of this 10386-nucleotide RNA transcript. It is a transcript of the gene named chromosome 5 C10orf107 homolog, with no coding region annotated. Lineage: Eukaryota; Metazoa; Chordata; Aves; Galliformes; Numididae. The record is from RefSeq and is a predicted model, not a curated record. The transcript has 9 exons.